Molecule: long non-coding RNA, 429 nt
Filed under: Polistes dominula (European paper wasp)
Lineage: Eukaryota; Metazoa; Arthropoda; Insecta; Hymenoptera; Vespidae
Description: uncharacterized LOC107067633, transcript variant X2
Source: RNAcentral
ACAUGAAAUAAUGUACAUUAGAAUUUCAUUUGCAUACAUUUUUCUUGUCAAAUCGUCUUUAUCUUCAAUAAUGAUUUUUAUAAUUUAUAUAAAUUAUUUCCAUAAUAUUUACGUUUCAUUUUUUAAUACGUUUUAAUUAACCAAUAACAGUUGUCCAUUUGGUGUAGUAAUACUAUACCACGAAAGAACUACUUUAGGUUCGACAAUCAUCAACAAGGUCAUGACAGAAGGCGGGUGGUUUGUCAAAAUAAGAUCAUUACGAUCAUGGAUCCAGCCCUCAGCCUGUAAUCAAUACCGGAAUCUAACGUUUCAACUAAGCAGUGGUCUUUUAAGACUUUAAUAAAAGAACAACCUAUCGUCCAGGAAGGAUUACUGAUCGGUUGUUGAUGGCAUAUAAGAUGAGUCAAUGAUGUUUUACCAACACCUGCA